Molecule: ribosomal RNA, 425 nt
Filed under: uncultured bacterium
Lineage: Bacteria
Description: partial 16S ribosomal RNA
Rfam family: Bacterial small subunit ribosomal RNA
Source: RNAcentral
GUGGGGGAUAUUGCACAAUGGGGGAAACCCUGAUGCAGCGACGCCGCGUGAAGGAAGACGUACUUCGGUAUGUAAACUUCUAUCAGCAGGGAAGAAGAUGACGGUACCUGACUAAGAAGCCCCGGCUAACUACGUGCCAGCAGCCGCGGUAAUACGUAGGGGGCAAGCGUUAUCCGGAUUUACUGGGUGUAAAGGGAGCGUAGACGGUGAAGCAAGUCUGAUGUGAAAGCCCGGGGCUCAACUCCGGGAUUGCAUUGGAAACUGUUUUACUUGAGUGCUGGAGGGGCAAGCGGAAUUCCUGGUGUAGCGGUGAAAUGCGUAGAUAUCAGGAAGAACACCGGUGGCGAAGGCGGCUUGCUGGACAGUAACUGACGUUGAGGCUCGAAAGCGUGGGGAGCAAACAGGAUUAGAAACCCUUGUAGUCC